CUCGAAAAAGAGUAGUUAAUACCGCAUGAGAUCUACGGAUGAAAGCAGGGGACCUUCGGGCCUUGUGCUACUAGAGCGGCUGAUGGCAGAUUAGGUAGUUGGUGGGGUAAAGGCUUACCAAGCCUGCGAUCUGUAGCUGGUCUGAGAGGACGACCAGCCACACUGGGACUGAGACACGGCCCAGACUCCUACGGGAGGCAGCAGUGGGGAAUUUUGGACAAUGGGCGAAAGCCUGAUCCAGCAAUGCCGCGUGCAGGAUGAAGGCCCUCGGGUUGUAAACUGCUUUUGUACGGAACGAAAAGCCUGGGGCUAAUAUCCCCGGGUCAUGACGGUACCGUAAGAAUAAGCACCGGCUAACUACGUGC
RNAcentral lists this ribosomal RNA (365 nucleotides) under uncultured Comamonas sp. RNAcentral's name for it is "bacterial SSU rRNA". It matches the Rfam family "Bacterial small subunit ribosomal RNA", at positions 150 to 508 of the family's 1533-position model. The record is from RNAcentral. Lineage: Bacteria; Pseudomonadati; Pseudomonadota; Betaproteobacteria; Burkholderiales; Comamonadaceae.